GACGAACGCUGGCGGCGUGCUUAACACAUGCAAGUCGAACGGAAACGCCCUGCUUUUGUGGGGUGCUCGAGUGGCGAACGCGUGAGUAACACGUGAGUAACCUGCUCUUGACUUUGGGAUAACUUCAGGAAACUGGGGCUAAUACCGGAUAGGAGCUCCUCCUGCAUGGUGGGGGUUGGAAAGUUUCGGCGGUUGGGGAUGGACUCGCGGCUUAUCGGCUUGUUGGUGGGGUAGUGGAUUACCCAGGCUUUGACGGGUAGCCGGCCUGAGAGGGUGACCGGCGACAUUGGGACUGAGAUAGGGCCCAGAGUCCUACGUGAGGCAGCAGGGGGAAGUAUUGCACAGUGGGCGGAAGCGGGAGGCAGCAACCUCGCGUGCGGAAAGACGGCCUGCGGGGAGUAAACCGCUGUCGGCUGUGACGAAGCGUGAGUGACGGUAACGGGUAAAGAAGCACCGGCUAACUACGUG
Molecule: ribosomal RNA, 468 nt
Filed under: uncultured bacterium
Lineage: Bacteria
Description: partial 16S ribosomal RNA
Rfam family: Bacterial small subunit ribosomal RNA
Source: RNAcentral